GACGAACGCUGGCGGCGUGCUUAACACAUGCAAGUCGAACGGAAAGGCCCUGCUUUUGUGGGGUGCUCGAGUGGCGAACGCGUGAGUAACACGUGUGUAACCUGCCCUUGACUUUGGGAUAACUUCAGGAAACUGGGGCUAAUAUCGGAUAGGAGCUCCUGCUGCAUGGUGGGGGUUGGAAAGUUUCGGCGGUUGGGGAUGGACUCGCGGCUUAUCAGCUUGUUGGUGGGGUAGUGGCUUACCAAGCCUUUGACGGGUAGCCGGCCUGAGAGGGUGACCGGCCACAUUGGGACUGAGAUACGGCCCAGACUCCUACGGGAGGCAGCAGUGGGGAAUAUUGCACAAUGGGCGGAAGCCUGAUGCAGCAACGCCGCGUGCGGGAUGACGGCCUUCGGGUUGUAAACCGCUUUCGCCUGUGACGAAGCGUGAGUGGCGGUAAUGGGUAAAGAAGCACCGGCUAACUACGUG
This 468-nucleotide ribosomal RNA is filed under the name uncultured bacterium. Its description in RNAcentral is "partial 16S ribosomal RNA". It matches the Rfam family "Bacterial small subunit ribosomal RNA", at positions 28 to 507 of the family's 1533-position model. The record is from RNAcentral.